RNAcentral lists this ribosomal RNA (270 nucleotides) under uncultured Coriobacteriaceae bacterium. RNAcentral's name for it is "partial 16S ribosomal RNA". It matches the Rfam family "Bacterial small subunit ribosomal RNA", at positions 1114 to 1382 of the family's 1533-position model. The record is from RNAcentral. Lineage: Bacteria; Bacillati; Actinomycetota; Coriobacteriia; Coriobacteriales; Coriobacteriaceae.
GUUGCCAGCAUUUAGUUGGGGACGUCAUGGGAGACCGUGCCGGCGUCAAGCCGGAGGAAGGUGGGGAUGACGUCAAGUCAUCAUGCCCCUUAUGUCCUGGGCUGCACACGUGCUACAAUGGCCGGUACAAUGGGCUGCGAUGCCGCGAGGCGGAGCGAAUCCCAUAAAACCGGCCCCAGUUCGGAUCGAAGGCUGCAACUCGCCUUCGUGAAGUCGGAGUUGCUAGUAAUCGCGGAUCAGCAUGCCGCGGUGAAUACGUUCCCGGGCCUU